RNAcentral lists this ribosomal RNA (253 nucleotides) under uncultured bacterium. RNAcentral's name for it is "partial 16S ribosomal RNA". It matches the Rfam family "Bacterial small subunit ribosomal RNA", at positions 524 to 776 of the family's 1533-position model. The record is from RNAcentral.
UACAGAGGUCUCAAGCGUUGUUCGGAUUCAUUGGGCGUAAAGGGCGCGUAGGCGGCGCGACAAGUCACUUGUGAAAUCUCUGAGCUUAACUCAGAACGGCCAAGUGAAACUGUUGUGCUAGAGUGCAGAAGGGGCAAUCGGAAUUCUUGGUGUAGCGGUGAAAUGCGUAGAUAUCAAGAGGAACACCUGAGGUGAAGACGGGUUGCUGGGCUGACACUGACGCUGAAGCGCGAAAGCCAGGGGAGCAAACGGG